GCCCCGUUCGUCUAGUGGCCUAGGACGCUGCCCUCUCACGGCGGUAACAGGGGUUCGAGUCCCCUACGGGGUACCA
This 76-nucleotide transfer RNA is filed under the name bacterium. RNAcentral's name for it is "tRNA-Glu". It matches the Rfam family "tRNA". Rfam says of the family: Transfer RNA (tRNA) molecules are approximately 80 nucleotides in length. The record is from RNAcentral.